Molecule: non-coding RNA, 4170 nt
Organism: Petromyzon marinus (sea lamprey)
Lineage: Eukaryota; Metazoa; Chordata; Hyperoartia; Petromyzontiformes; Petromyzontidae
Source: RefSeq, a predicted model, not a curated record
CUCGGGUCGCCGGGUUCGUAGCGCAGCGUAGUGCUAACCGCUGCUACACUACCGUACACACACACACGUGCGUGAUGGCACUUGAGCAUCACCCACGGCUUGGACGUUCGGUAGAAAUAUAAUUAUUAUAAUUGUUUUUGAAGUUUUGGAACAAGUCCACAGACCACCUGCUCCCACCUACACCUUCAUGUUUAUUUAAGCAAAGGAAAAUGUAUUCACCAUUACGUGUUUGUGUUCAUUUAUAUAUUUAUAUUUUACAUAUUCUUUUCUAUGCGUUGCUGUUCAUCAUGAAAUGAUGUGCUCUGGGCUAUCAACAAUUCAUGUAUUCCGUUGGAAUUAUAAACAUUAUAAAAUGUGUGACGCCCUCUUACCCCUACAGCUAAACAAGGUAUCCCAAUCACCCUAUCUUUGGCAUUGUCAUAACAAUGCAGAGCAAUAUAAUAGUGAAUGUUCAUAUCUUUUGAGCAUUGCAAAAUUAACUGCCUUCAGACCUGCACUGACCCUGUGCAUGGGAACUACAAAACACAACGCUACCGGACAGACGACCACGAUCCUGUAUAUUAAAUGUGAUGCUUACAUGGGUCGUUGUUAGAAAGAAAGUAUGAUUGUGUGCGUGUGUUAUUGAUGUAUAUAUGGCAUAAUGGGAUCUUCAUGCAUACUAUAUGGUCCAAUCUGACUAUGUUAUUAUCUGGGCAUUGGCUAUUUGCAGCUAUGCUAAUUUAUUAGUUACUCGAGGCCAUGGGUUAUACAUAGCAAUGGGUGUUUUUCUUUGUCCCCUUCCCAUGACUUUUGAACUAUUACCUUUUUUAUACACAUACUCGAAGAGGAAAUAGUUUUAUAUUCGGACAGUUUAUAAAGUUGACAAGAACGGCCCUGCAACAGAACCCAUCCGUGUGGUAGGUAUAUGAUGAUGAUGAUCAUGAUGAUGAUGCCAAUGAGCAUAUGUAUCAUUUUUUGGGGGAUUGUUAUCGUUUACCACGUUUGUGAGUUGUCACUAAUUCGAGUGACCUUGGAGGAGUUUCCAUGACCCGGACAAUGUGGCAUCAAGGACAAGCAGGGGCAGAUCAAUUCACACAAUUGGCCACUCAAUAAUACACAAUGGGGCUAAAGCUUACGCUGCAUUUACAUAGUCCCCCAGAGAUCUUUCCUGCACAACAUUGCUUCCAUUGCAUUUGGCAAACAUUCACAUAACCAGUGCUUAAUGGUGAUGGCGUUGUUGUGUAAUGCUAGCAACUGUGCAUUUUGUCACUGCAAAUAAAUUCGUCAAACGUAUCAUCAUCAUCAUCUUCGCCAUGAUCAAUCCACUGCUGGAUGAAGGCCUCCCAAAGUUGUCAUCGCUUGCGGUUCUGGAAUGUAACAGUAUAUGUGCGUGUGUGUUAAAGAAUAAAACAAUGGACUACACUUAUAUAUACACACACCGGAACAUGUUUAAUUAAUUGUAUUAUUGCGUGCUAUUGCAAAAAAUAAAUCAUUACAUCACCCAUGAAUUAACAAAACAAACAAGCAUGAACAGUAAACUAAUGCCACAUCAAACCUAAGAACGCUCAAAUUUUAUAAUGCACUUCUGCUCCACUUAUUUAUACAUUAAUUGGCAUUUGAAGCAAACAAAAAUGCACUGGCUGGGAAAAUAACACGCCUUUCUUUUUGUUUGGCCUCUUGGAGUUAUAGUUUCGUGUCUUGCUUUGGCUGCGAGCGAGCUGAUGCAAUGAUCAGCGGGCGGAGGAAUGAGCCGAGUUCAUAUCGCUCCGUGUGUGUCAUCUCACGUGGGUUUGAGUGGCUCCCUACAGAGAACGUUGCUGCCUGCAGAAGAUGCAAAGGAGUGAUCAAAGCGUGGAUUAGCACUAAUCUAAGCCAAAUUAACUUAACGAAUUACAGCAGCCCACCACCUCAAGGGCAAUUGCUACAGCGGCAGUUUUCGGGAACACGUUGCCAUGGAAGACUGUGGGUGGUGCGCAGUAGUCUGCAGAGUUCUUCUCAAAAAAACCCCAUCGGUCAGAUCGGAGUCACACGGAGAGGCAUCCAUAACCCUGCAGCCCGCAAGUGAUGGAAGAAACAAGUUACUGCAAUACUGCCAGGCCAAAGGCAUGACCGGAUGAAUGCAUCGGAGCAUUUGGUUUGUGUAACAUCAAGCCUAGGCCUUUUAAAAUAUAAUUCCUGUAGCUCAUUGCAUUAGUCCCCAUACCAUGCCAGGCGCAUUCACAACUCUUACAUGUAGCAAAUAAUAAAUGUUUUUAAAAUAAUAAGAGGGCCUCAGGAUGUGACUUCAUGCUUCCAUAAUUGUAAGACACUGAAAAGCCCUUUGCAGUAAUGAUGCUUGAACAUUUGCUGGCUGCUACCAUUUAUGCACAUGCAUGAAAUGUAUAGAUAACUUAAACAAAAUAAAAUAUAUCAGUUAAUUAAUUGUAAAUUGAGAUUGUGUCUAACUUGACAUUCCAAAUGGUUAUUUUAAAAAUGUAUUAUCAUUUUUUAAAUAAUAUUUACUAUGUUUCUUUAAUGUUAUUUUUGUAAAAUUUGCAUUUGUGAUGCGAAUUUUAAACAUGUUUGAAAUAUAUUGUUUUAAUGGAUUGAUCUAAUUUGAAUUAAUGUUUAUAUAGUGCACUUAUUUUAGUGAAUGUCUGCUUUGUUGUCAUAUAUAUUGAAUACGCAACAAUGUUCAAUUUGUAUAAUUGAUCACAUAUGUGGUUGGUUAUCACUUAUAUGUAAAAUUGGCACGCGUUUUUAACAUUUUUAUUGAUGAUGUGCAAUGUGUUUUAACUUGAUUUUAAUUAUAAAUGCAAAACGAGUCAAAAUUAUCACCAACCAUAAAUGCAAUAAAGUAUACAAAUUAAACAUUGCUAUGUAUUGAAUAUGUAAAAAAAGCAAACGUCCACUGACAUCAGUGCAUGAUAUCAUACGAAUUCAAAUUAUACCAUAAAAAUGUAAAACUAUACUUUUCAAACACGUUUACACAACACACCGUGUAUCCGUACAUGGUGUGCCGUGUUUUAUAAGGUACAAAAGCCAAAUCCUAAUAAGAUUUACUGAUAAGCGUGGAAACACAUGCGCCAUACUGUUCCGCUCAAAUCCCUGCUGUACAGUUGUGCAUUGCGCCUGCAGCUAAUAAACAGGCUCAGAAGGUGGAUCAAUGCUGUGUGGCUCCAGAUUUUCAGCCUAACGGGGUUGUCGGGGAGUGGAAAGGAAAAAAAAUGACAGCACUAAUAAAACACCACGAAUAGAAUUACCAAUGUGCCUCUGAAAAAUUCAAACAGGCAUUAAUUUUAACAACUGUUUACUAUGGUGUAGUUGGCGUUCCUUGUUAGGUAUUUAGAUUUAAAAGAAGGCGAAUGUGCAACCGUUCAAUUGCUUGCUCAUCGUGCUACUCCUGGCGAUUUAGAUUGUGGGCAAAUGUCUUUGUGAAAAUUAAAGCAUGUAUUAUUUUAACUGCUAGAGCAACUUCAUACUAUGGUGCAAUUAAAAUCACAACUGGAAUCCAAAAUGACAAAUGAGUUUCCACUUAAAAUGAAUGUAUGUUAACUUCUUUCGCACCGUACGUAACGAACUGUUCCAAUCGAAGGCUAGACAACUUUAAGUACUGUAAAGCUUUGUAGAUUAAUUUUUUAGAGGUCAGGGCGCAUCCCUGCAAUUGCUUGGUCACGCCACUGCUGGCGAUAUAUAUAUGUAUUGACUUAUUUAUAUCGUUAGCAGUGUGAAUUAAAAAGACCCUUUCACAAGAAGAUGGCAUGGUUGUAAGUGGUCGCAUUUUUACUUUAAACACGUAACAGAGCAUAAUGUAAAGUAUUUUUGAUAAUAAUUAUUUUUUAAUUGCAAAACGUAUCUUAGUGUUAUUUGUUUAUUUAUUAUAAUUAGAAAUUUAAUGGAAUAUGUAAUAAUUUCGUGUGCGUGAAUUUUAAACAUUAAGGCAUUGCCCGAGCUGCAUUCUGUGAAUUGUCAAAACUAUUUAACGAUUAAUAUUUUUCAAUAACAGCAAUAAUACAAUAUUGCUAUUUGUGUAUGAUUCUUUGCAUAAUGGAAAAUUAAUAUUGACUUUUUAUAACAAUUAUAUUAAAAAUAUAUACUGUUUGACAUAGUUAAACUGUGUACAUGCCCUAAAAUGUAUUACCCCUGAUUCCUUGUUUAAAGAGUGACAGUGAGAUGUACAUGUAAAAUAAACGUAAAAUAAUUCACACCGCA